GUAGAUGGAUUUUUGGUUUAUGACUUAGUGGACCAUGCACCCCCAAACUUGUUGAGAUCUAUGGGUGGCUAGGACUUCAAAAAAUUUGACCUACAAAAGAAUUGUAUUAAUUCAAAAUGUAAUAACAAAAGUAUUAAUCACAAGUAACAUAAACAAAAGUGUAAGGAUAAGAAAGUUGGGUUGCCCCCAACAAGCGCUUG
RNAcentral lists this long non-coding RNA (200 nucleotides) under Olea europaea (common olive). RNAcentral describes it as "long non-coding RNA (OEUR_LNC003492)". Lineage: Eukaryota; Viridiplantae; Streptophyta; Magnoliopsida; Lamiales; Oleaceae. The record is from RNAcentral.